Molecule: ribosomal RNA, 493 nt
Filed under: uncultured bacterium
Lineage: Bacteria
Description: partial 16S ribosomal RNA
Rfam family: Bacterial small subunit ribosomal RNA
Source: RNAcentral
ACGAACGCUGGCGGCGUGCUUAACACAUGCCAGUCGAACGGUGAAGCGCCUUCCUUUUUGGUGGGUGUGGAUGAGUGGCGAACGGGUGAGUAACACGUGAGUAACCUGCCCCCUUCUUCUGGAUAACCGCAUGAAAGUGUGGCUAAUACGGGAUAUUCUGGGUCUGUCGCAUGAUGGGUCUGGGAAAGAUAUUGUUUCGGUGGGGGAUGGGCUCGCGGCCUAUCAGCUUGUUGGUGGGGUGAUGGCCUACCAAGGCGGUGACGGGUAGCCGGCCUGAGAGGGUGGACGGUCACACUUGGACUGAGACACGGCCCAGACUCCUACGGGAGGCAGCAGUGGGGAAUAUUGCACAAUGGGCGCAAGCCUGAUGCAGCGACGCCGCGUGAGGGAUGGAGGCCUUCGGGUUGUGAACCUCUUUCGCCAGUGAAGCAGGCCUGCCUCGUUUGUGGGUGGGUUGACGGUAGCUGGAUAAGAAGCGCCGGCUAACUACGUG